UACGUAGGUGGCAAGCGUUGUCCGGAUUUAUUGGGUUUAAAGGGCGCGUAGGCGGCUUUUCAAGUGACGGGUGAAAUCCCUCGGCUUAACCGAGGAACUGCCUGUCAGACUGGAAGGCUUGAGACCGGGAGAGGUGAGUGGAAUUCCCAGUGUAGCGGUGAAAUGCGUAGAUAUUGGGAGGAACACCAGUGGCGAAGGCGGCUCACUGGACCGGAACUGACGCUGAGGCGCGAAAGCGUGGGGAGCAAACAGG
Molecule: ribosomal RNA, 253 nt
Filed under: uncultured bacterium
Lineage: Bacteria
Description: partial 16S ribosomal RNA
Rfam family: Bacterial small subunit ribosomal RNA
Source: RNAcentral